UAUUCGUCACUAUAGGGGGUACAUCUUCGCGGCUCACCACAGCCCACUUCUCCGUCGUAAUAUCAGCAUUCUGCAGUUCGAGGAGUGUUUGCAAGUUAUUCUCAAGCUCCUGGAACUGCAGAAUGCUGAUAUUACGAUAGGGGGUACAUCUUCGCGGCUCACCACAGCCCACUUCUCCGUCGUAAUAUCAGCAUUCUGCAGUUCGAGGAGUGUUUGCAGUUAAUUCUCAAGCUCCUGGAACUGCAGAAUGCUGAUAUUACGACGGAGAAGUGGGCUGUGGUGAGCCGCGAAGAUGUACACCCUAUAGUGACGGAUAUUUGCCCCAAUAAACAUGUUGAGAUCUGGAUGGAUGCGGACAGUGUGGAUAUCAUCAAGGAGAGAUGCAACCGCCUCAAACUUUGUUUUUGGAUGAUCAAAUUUGAGUUUUGAUGCUAGAAUACUUCCUUGGGAUUUUCAGGAUUUCAGAAACGUUCGCCGUCUAGAAUUUAAUGAGGUCUUUCCUGUGACUAAGUACAACGGCCGGCUCUUCAUCGCAGCAGCCAAUGAAGUCACAAUCGAUUGGGUGGUGCGAAAAAUAUGUUCCAUGUGAUGCCUUACCGGAUCGACUUAAAAUGAACGCAAAUUACGGCGGCUUUCUCCAUACGAGGAGCUUUGCAAACUCUUCUCACUGGAUUCGAGAACCUUUUUGAGAACCUAUUUUCGUACCUUUGGCCUUUUCUUUUAACCCCGCGUUUGCAAUCAAAUGUGGAUGGCUGUAAGUAUUCGCUACUAUAUUCUGAGGAGCGCUCAGUGCCAUAGAGCUGGCUACCAUCCGAUGACUAACUCAAUGCUAGAGUUCGAUGAACUCUGACUAUCAACCAGGAACAUAAUCAUAAUCAGACCAUAAUCAGACCCACAAAAAAGGACGACAACGGAGCAACUUCUGUCAUGAGAUCGGACUCGGCCAACGUUACAUCUGAAGCAGAAAUCUCCAAUGUUCCCGGCUGAAUUUUGAGCAGACAUUCAAGCUCUGUCUUAAGGUCGUAUAUGGUAGCUGAGAUCGAUAGCUUGAUGACCAAUUGAUGGAAAAAAACACUUGGUCCCAACUAUGAAAAAUUUUCAGAAGUAAAGCAAAGUUUUAUUUUUGAUGUUGCCUGUAUGAGUUCACGAAGUAGAAUCAUUGAAGUACUGUACUCUCUGAACGGGUCGAAUUUUACAAACAUCCCAGGACUUCUUGGAUUUCAAAAAUUUGUGAUUUGCUUGUCUAGCUGAAAAUACUAUAAUUAUAUUUAUAUUAAAACAUUAUAUAUUUUAAAA
Drosophila willistoni is the source of this 1296-nucleotide long non-coding RNA. RefSeq lists it as uncharacterized. The transcript has 2 exons. Lineage: Eukaryota; Metazoa; Arthropoda; Insecta; Diptera; Drosophilidae. The record is from RefSeq and is a predicted model, not a curated record.